UAAUACGUAGGGGGCAAGCGUUAUCCGGAAUCACUGGGUGUAAAGGGUGAGUAGGCGGCAAGGUAAGUCAUAUGUGAAAGCCCGGUGCUCAACAUCGGGACUGCAUAAGAAACUAUCUAGCUAGAGUACAGGAGAGGUAAGUGGAAUUCCUAGUGUAGCGGUGAAAUGCGUAGAUAUUAGGAAGAACACCAGUGGCGAAGGCGACUUACUGGACUGAAACUGACGCUGAGUCACGAAAGCGUGGGGAGCGAACAGGAUUAGAUACCCUGGUAGUCCACGCUGUAAACGAUGAGUGCUAGGUGUCGGGUAGAGAUAUUCGGUGCCGCAGCUAACGCAAUAAGCACUCCACCUGGGGAGUACGAUCGCAAGAUUG
This 373-nucleotide ribosomal RNA is filed under the name uncultured bacterium. Its description in RNAcentral is "bacterial SSU rRNA". It matches the Rfam family "Bacterial small subunit ribosomal RNA", at positions 521 to 896 of the family's 1533-position model. The record is from RNAcentral.